GGGGAAUAUUGGACAAUGGGCGCAAGCCUGAUCCAGCCAUGCCGCGUGAGUGAAGAAGGCCUUCGGGUUGUAAAGCUCUUUUACCAGGGACGAUAAUGACGGUACCUGGAGAAUAAGCCCCGGCAAACUUCGUGCCAGCAGCCGCGGUAAUACGAAGGGGGCUAGCGUUGUUCGGAAUUACUGGGCGUAAAGCGCACGUAGGCGGAUUGUUAAGUCAGAGGUGAAAUCCCGGAGCUCAACUUCGGAACUGCCUUUGAUACUGGCAAUCUAGAGUCCGGAAGAGGUUAGUGGAAUUCCCAGUGUAGAGGUGAAAUUCGUAGAUAUUGGGAAGAACACCAGUAGGCGAAGGCGGCUAACUGGUCCGGUACUGACGCUGAGGUGCGAAAGCGUGGGGAGCAAACAG
RNAcentral lists this ribosomal RNA (403 nucleotides) under uncultured bacterium. Its description in RNAcentral is "bacterial SSU rRNA". It matches the Rfam family "Bacterial small subunit ribosomal RNA", at positions 356 to 775 of the family's 1533-position model. The record is from RNAcentral.